UACAGAGGGGGCAAGCGUUGUUCGGAAUUACUGGGCGUAAAGGGCGCGUAGGCGGCCUUCUAAGUCGAACGUGAAAUCCCCGGGCUCAACCCGGGAACUGCGUCCGAUACUGGAAGGCUUGAAUCUGGGAGAGGGAUGCGGAAUUCCAGGUGUAGCGGUGAAAUGCGUAGAUAUUCGCAAGAACACCAGUGGCGAAGGCGGCUAUCUGGACGGUUUCUGACGCUAAGACGCGAAAGCGUGGGGAGCAAACAGG
RNAcentral lists this ribosomal RNA (253 nucleotides) under uncultured bacterium. RNAcentral describes it as "partial 16S ribosomal RNA". It matches the Rfam family "Bacterial small subunit ribosomal RNA", at positions 524 to 776 of the family's 1533-position model. The record is from RNAcentral.